GGGCGGCCCUACAGGAAGGGGAUGGGAUGGGAUGGGGGGGGGGGAUGGAAGGGGGACCCCAUGGAGGGCAUUGUCGGCACACGGAGUGCAUCGCCGCCCCAUAGAACCUAUCAGCGCCCCAUAGAACCUAUUAGCACCCCAUAGAGCCCAUUGUUACCCCAUAGAGGCCAUUGUUAUCCCAUAGAACCCAUUGUUACUCCAUAGAGCCCAUUAUCACCUCAUAGAACCUAUUAUCACCCCAUAGAGCCCUUUAUCACCCCAAAGAACCUAUUGUUACCCCAUAGAGCCCAUCAUCACCCCAUAGAGCCCACUGUCACCCCAUAGAGCCCAUUGUUAACUCAUAGACCCCUCUGCCACCCCAUAGAGCCCAUUGUUACCCCAUAGAGCCCAUUGUUGCUCCAUAGAGCCCAUUAUUACCCAAUAGAACCUAUUAUCACCCCGUAGAACCCAUUGUUACCCCAUAGAGCCCAUCGUCACCCCAUAAAGCCCACUGUCACCCCAUAGAGCCCAUUAUUACCCCAUAGAGCCCAUUGUUACCCCAUAGAACUUAUUAUCACCGCAUAGAACCCAUUGUUACCCCAUAGAGCCCAUUGUCACCCCAUAGAGCCCAUUAUCACCCCAUAGAGCCCUUUAUCACCCCAUAGAACUUAUUAUCACCCCAUAGAACCCAUUGUUACCCCAUAGAACCCAUUGUUACCCCAUAGAACCCAUUGUUACCCCAUAGAGCCCAUUGUCGCCCCAUAGAGCCCAUUAUCACCCCAUAGAACCUAUGAUUGCCCCAUAGAGCCCAUUGUUACUCCGUAGAGCCCAUCGUCACCCCAUAGAGCCCAUCAUCACCCCAUAGACCCCUCUGCCACCCCAUAGAGCCCAUUGUUACCCCACAGAGCCCAUUAUCACCCCAUAGAACCUAUUGUUACCCCAUAGAGCCCAUUGUUGCCCUAUAGAACCUAUUGUUACCCCAUAGAGCCCAUUAUCACCCCAUAGAGCCCAUUAUCACCCCAUAGAACCUAUUAUCACCCCAUUGAACCCAUUGUCACCCCAUGGAGGCCAUUGUCGCCCCAUAGACCCCAUGGCCACCCCACAGACCCCACAGUCAUCCCCCCCCCCUGUCGUCCCCCCUUUUGUCCCCACCCCUUUGUCCCCACCCCCACCCCAUAAAGGCACCGCAGCCCGCAGUGCCACCACCGCUGCGGGACCGUGAGUCCUCCUGACCCCAUUCCUGACCCCAUUCCUGACCCCAUAUCUGUCCCCAACUUUGUCCCCAUCCCUGACCCCACAUUUGCCCCUUUGACCCCAAAUUUCUCCCUCUUUCCCCACCCCUCACCCCAAAUUUGCCCCUUUGGCCCCAAUUUUGCCCCUCCAUCCCCAUCUCUGACCCCAUAUUAUCCCCCCGUCCCCACUCCUGACCCCAAAUUUCCCCCUCUGCCCCCAUAUUAUCCCCCCAUCCCCACCUCUGACCCCAAAUUUGUCCCUCUGUCCCCAUUUUGUCCCCACCCUGACUCCAAAUUUGUCCCUUUGACCCCAUAUUUCCCCCUCUGACCCCAUAUUGUCCCUCCAUCCCCAUCCCUGACCCCAUAUUGUCCCUCAGUCUCUAUCCCUGACCCCAAAUUUGUCCCUUUGACCCCAAAUUUCCCUCUCUGCCCCCAUACUGUCCCUCCAUCACCACCCCUGACCCCAAAUUUGUCCCCAAAUUUGUCCCUUUGACCCCAAAUCUCCCCCUCUGCCCCCAUAUUAUCCCUCCAUCCCCACCCCUGACCCCAAAUCUCCCCCUCUGCCCCCAUAUUAUCCCUCCAUCCCCACCCCUGACCCCAAAUCUCCCCCUCUGCCCCCAUAUUAUCCCUCCAUCCCCAUCCCUGACCCCAAAUUUGUCCCUUUGACCGCAAAUCUCCCCCUCUGCCCCCAUAUUAUCCCUCCAUCCCCACCCCUGACCCCAAAUCUCCCCCUCUGCCCCCCAUAUUAUCCCUCCAUCCCCACCCCUGACCCCAAAUUUGUCCCUUUGACCCCAAAUCUGUCCCUCCAUCCCCAUCCCUGACCCCAUAUUGUCCCUCAGUCCCCAUCCCCUGACCCCAAAUUUGUCCCUUUGACCCCAAAUCUCCCCCUCUGCCCCCAUAUUAUCCCUCCAUCCCCACCCCUGACCCCAAAUCUCCCCCUCUGCCCCCAUAUUAUCCCUCCAUCCCCACCUCUGACCCCAAAUUUGUCCCUUUGACCCCAAAUUUCCCCCUCUGACUCCAUUUUGCCCCUCCAUCCCCAUCCCUGACCCCAAAUCUCCCCCUCUGCCCCCAUAUUAUCCCUCCAUCCCCACCCCUGACCCCAAAUUUGUCCCCAAAUUUGUCCCUUUGACCGCAAAUCUCCCCCUCUGCCCCCAUAUUAUCCCUCCAUCCCCACCCCUGACCCCAAAUCUCCCCCUCUGCCCCCAUACCGCCCCUCCGUCCCCACCGUUGUCCCCAUGUCCCCCCCCGUCACCUGGGGGGUGGCCCUGGGGGUGGCCCUGGGCGCUGUGGGGUGGGCGCUGUUGGUUUCCUCUCUGCCCCACAGUGCCUGGGGGGUGGGGGGGGGGCAGGUGACGGUGGUGGCGUCUGUCACCAACACCCGCGGGCUGUGGAGCGAUUGUGUCACCGACGCCAGCGGGGGUGACAUCGUGUGUCCCACUGCAGUCACUGCUCACACUGCCCGGUAUGAGCCCGGCCCGGGGUUGUUCCUGGCCGGGGGGGGGGCGAUGCUUUUGGGGCUGGGGGGGGCAGCGCUCCUCCUUGCCGCGCGGAGGACCCCCCCCAGAACACAACGACCCCCAGGUGAGAAACUCCCCCCCCCCCCCAAAAUAAUGGGAACCCCAAAACCGUGGCGUCCAACCCCAAU
This is a long non-coding RNA of Gallus gallus (chicken), 2856 nucleotides long. The record is from Ensembl. NCBI's taxonomy places the organism in Eukaryota, Metazoa, Chordata, Aves, Galliformes, Phasianidae.